AGCUUUGCGCAGUGGCAGUAUCAUAGCCAAUGAGGUUUAUCCGAGGCGUGAUUAUUGCUAAUUGAAAAAAAAGGAAAAAAAAAACUUAAUUUGGGGGCUGGAGAAAUGGCUUAGCACUUAAGACACUUGCCUGCAA
Molecule: small nuclear RNA, 136 nt
Filed under: Jaculus jaculus (lesser Egyptian jerboa)
Lineage: Eukaryota; Metazoa; Chordata; Mammalia; Rodentia; Dipodidae
Description: U4 spliceosomal RNA (ENSJJAG00000002442.1)
Rfam family: U4 spliceosomal RNA
About the family: U4 small nuclear RNA (U4 snRNA) is a component of the major U2-dependent spliceosome. The structure of U4 snRNA from yeast and human has been reported.
Source: Rfam by way of RNAcentral